AUGGGUUGUCCUGAUGGAACAGUGAAGAUCGGCGACUAUAUGGUCUGGCGACAUUAUUGCAUCAAUGGAAAAAGCAAAGUGUCAAAGCCUCUUCUAUCAAUCCAGCAGCACCCCGCUGCCCUUCGCAUCCUCCCUGCAUCACUGCAACUGGGCCGUGCUCACAUCGUCUGCGGUCACAUGCGCAAUCUUUGCGCUCGACGCUGCCUCCACCGAGAUUCAUUGCAAGGGUGCCUGAAACGCCCACUGCUGGGUACAUGCAUACAACAAUUAUGCCAUGUCUUCCCUAUUCGAUUGGUCGCACAGUGUCUGUAA
RNAcentral lists this ribosomal RNA (312 nucleotides) under Triticum aestivum (bread wheat). RNAcentral's name for it is "partial small subunit ribosomal RNA". Lineage: Eukaryota; Viridiplantae; Streptophyta; Magnoliopsida; Poales; Poaceae. The record is from RNAcentral.